Molecule: long non-coding RNA, 1068 nt
Filed under: Homo sapiens (human)
Lineage: Eukaryota; Metazoa; Chordata; Mammalia; Primates; Hominidae
Description: HSALNT0121756
Source: RNAcentral
GACGGGGUUUCACCUUGUUAGCCAGGAUGGUCUCGAUCUCCUGACCUCGUGAUCCACCCGCCUCGGCCUCCCAAAGUGCUGGGAUUACAGGCGUGAGCCACCGCGCCCAGCCUGUAAGCCUAAAUUUUUGUGGCUGUGGGAUGGACAAGGACCCAGUCUUUAGCUGAACUAAGGAAAAGUCCUGCAACAAUAAAUUUCAGAAGUUUGAUCUUAACAGAUGAGGAGACUGAAGCCCACAGAGAUCUGAUAGAAAACAGCUGGAUGUGCUAACAGAGCAUCAGACUUGGAAUCAGGUGGAUCCUAGAUUGGCUACUUCCUAACCUCAGAAAAGUGACAUAAUGUCUAUGGUGAAGUCAUCCAUCUGAAACACAAUGCAGUGAAAUCCACUUUAAAUUUUGAUUGUGGCUGAAGUCCUGGCUGGAAUGCUUCUUGUAUCAUAUCAUUGGAGAUUGGAAGAAUUGAGAUGUUUCUUGCUGUGGUUGUCCAACCCAGCUCUAGUUUGUCAGCCAGUAUUCUGCAUGCACAAAAGUAGUGUUUAAUCUAAGAAGACUCGAGGCAAGAGAUGUCAGCUUAAUUUUGUGUAAAUAGUCUGGAAACAUGAUUUUCAUCACAGCAAGCAAAACUUGUAUAGACAUGUUUGUAAGAGGAUAUUUAUACACCACCCCAGGAUGCUCUUUCUCAACUGACAUCACCUGCAUUUAGUCCAUUUCAGUUCUUCCAUGGCUUUAUGUUUUCAGUAGGUUACAUUUUAAAAUUCAUCUGUAAUUUAUUGCAAUAUAAGGUAUAAGACAAAUUGAAUUUUAUUUCCUGAUAAUAUCUUAUUAUAAUUUAUUCAAGAAUUGUUCCUAUCCUCAAUUAUUUUGUAUACAAAUUCAGUUUCUAUUAAAUUAUGCUCCUGAUUCCUUCUGUUUAAUUAAAAUACCUUCCUUUUCACAUUUGUACAAGUGUUAAAAUUAAAUAACGUCUUAUAUGUAAUAAAGUAAGUCUCUAUUCUUUCUAAAAUGUCAAGACAAUUCUCAUCAGCUUUAAAAUUGUAAGUAACCUUUAGAAUCCUAGUGACAAAUACAA